Molecule: long non-coding RNA, 280 nt
Filed under: Elaeis guineensis (African oil palm)
Lineage: Eukaryota; Viridiplantae; Streptophyta; Magnoliopsida; Arecales; Arecaceae
Description: long non-coding RNA (EGUI_LNC007352)
Source: RNAcentral
AAUCUUAAUUAAACUUGAUCAAAUCAAUAAAUUAAUUGAGUCAUAGUUUCAAUUAAAUCAGGAUCAAUUCUCCCUCAUUGAUUAGGUUAUCUCAUAACCUAAUCGGAUCUGACCUGAUUGAAUCCAAUUCAAUUAGACUUGAUCUAGACUUUAAUGCUCAAUUAAAUUGAGCUAAUUGAUAAUCUAAUCACUAACUAAUCGUUCAUUAAUGAUAGAGUCUCCAUCCAGUGGGACUCUUCACCAGAGUUUCAGUCCAAUGGGACUCUUCAGAUUAGCCAUC